UCGACCGAUAUGAAACGAGAAGAAAAAAUGACGCCGAUAUUUUUAACGUGGUUCGGCCAAACUGCCUACGUCCACGGACCCACACCAAUAUAUUAGAGAAUCUCAAAAGGAGGAGUACAACAAAAAUAUCACACUGUAUUUUGUAUCUGCCUACGCAGAGGCUAUUUCUCAACUCACUUUUAUCACUCGUGUAUAACUUCAACACUAAAGUUCUCUCUCACAAGAUUUUUUCUCUAUCUCUCUAGCAAAUAACACUUCUGCUAGGUGGUGUUUUGGUUGUUCUGGGGUAAUUUACAGGCUGCUAUGCGAUGCUCUAUUUAUAGGCAGAAUGGUGGUAGUAGGUGGCUGCCAAAUUUGAAUUUGCAGCUGCAACUUUUUGACUGCAACUUUUGACAAUUGUUGUUUGUUGCUUUUUGACUAACAAUCUCCCACUUGAAGACUGAUUUCAAUCUGUCUUCACACCUCGAUCAACGCAGCAGCCUUUCUGUCUUAACUGUAAAGACAUAACCGGUAGUGCUUCUCCUGCGAUCU
RNAcentral lists this long non-coding RNA (531 nucleotides) under Salvia miltiorrhiza (redroot sage). Its description in RNAcentral is "long non-coding RNA (SMIL_LNC003524)". The record is from RNAcentral. Lineage: Eukaryota; Viridiplantae; Streptophyta; Magnoliopsida; Lamiales; Lamiaceae.